AUGGAGCAGGGAUAUCGCAUGCACAGAGCAGAGACGUCGACGUCGGUCACCUACCCCAUCGUGCCGUGCUGCGGCGCCGGCGCCCGGGGCGGCCCCGCCGUGCUGGCCUGCUUCGCGAUGGGCCCCAACCCGGCCGAAAUCGGCCCGGAGGGGCUCCCGGCGGCGGCCGUGGCGCCCGUCGUCCUCCCGGUGCAGCCGCGCUCCGCCAGCCUCGGCGCCAGGAGGUGGCUCACGGUGCUCUGGGACGCCGAGCGGCACAGCGGGCUGCGCUGCAGCGUGAGCGGCGGAGGCGGCCGGUCCUCGUCCAAGGCCUUCCCGUCGGACGUGUGCCUGGCGUCGCAGCCGAGGCCCCGGGUGCACCUCGUGGAGCCGCCGUGCCAGGCCGCUGAGGGCUCAGCGGCGCUGGAGCUGGUCUGCAUCGUCUGGGGCUUCGGGGCCAGAGAGACCAAGGUGACCUGGCUGCUCAACGGGAAGGAGGUCUCGGAGGUGCAAGGGUCCCUCAGCAAGGGUGAGGACGGCUCGACCAGCAGCUACAACCGGCUGGAGAUCACCCAUGACAGCUGGGACAGCGGGAACAUCUACACCUGCCAGGUGACCUACUUGGAUGGAAACAGUGACGUGGAGAUGUACAACACCAGCAGGUGCCAAGCCUGCCUCGGCCGCUCGGUGACGCCCCAGGUCUUCGUGACGCCGCCGUCCUUCGGCGACGUGCUCUCCGGGUCCGCCAUGGCCACCUGCCUGCUGCUGGGCUGGCCCCUGCGGGGCGCCAAGCUCUCCUGGCACGCGGAGGGGAGCAGCUGGCCGGGGACCGCCACGGGCACCGCCACCCCGCACGCCAACGGCACCGAGAGCCUGCGGGCCGCCUUCCCCGUGUCCCCGGAGCAGUGGAGCGCCGGCCUGAAGCUCGUCUGCCGCGCCGAGCUGCCCUGCCACGGGACCCUCUCCGAGGCGCUCGCCGUGGGGCCGGCACCGGGGCCCAGGACGGUGCCGGCGGUGAGCGUCUCCCGCGCCGCCCGCGAGGGCCCCGGGCCGAGCGCGCCGGCGACGCUGCUGCUCUGCGAAGCCAGCGGCUUCUCCCCGCGGGACAUCAGCAUCCGCUGGGAGAGGGACGGCGCCGAGGAGCCCCGCGCCCGCUACGCCGGCGGCCCCGUGGCCGGCGACGGCCCCUUCUCCACCCACAGCGUCCUCUGGGCCGGGCAGGAGGCGGCGAAUUACACCUGCGUCGUGCAGCACCCGGCCCUGGACGAGCCGCUGCGUGUCACCCGCCGCGCCGGAUCCCCCGGCGCCCGGCCGCCGCGGGUCUCCGUGUCCCACGGCCCCGGCGGCGGCGGCGAGACGCUCACCUGCUUUGCCACGGGCUUCUACCCGCCGGAGGUGGAAAUGCGCUGGGCGGCGGCGGGCGGCCGGCGGCUGGGCUGCGUCAGCGAGCGGGCGGCGCUGCCCGACGGCACCUUCCAGCAGCGCUGCACGGCCACGGUGGGCGCCGAGGAGUGGCGGGCCGGCGGCGCCUACGCCUGCACCGUGACCCACGGGCAGUGGGUGGAGGAGAAGACGCUCGCCCACCCCGGUUGCCAGAAGUCACUGCUGUCCUCUUCGUCGGUGCAGCCGCCGCCUUUCCGGGAGCUCUUCCUGCACGGGGCGGCCAACCUGACGUGCAGCACGCCGCUGGGCAACGCCAGCCUGGCCUGGCUGGUGCAGGGGCGGCAGGCGGAGGCCGGGGCGGUGCGGACGCAGCCCGGCGCCGAGGGCACGGGGCUCCGCAGCUGGCUCCGCGUCAGCCUGCGCGACUGGAACGACACCGUCAGCUUCGCCUGCCGUGUCCGCAGCGGCGCCGAGGAGACGCAGCUGGAGCUCAACCGGAUCAUGGGUCCCUUGAAGCCGCCGACCCUCCACGUGCUGCCGUCGUCGGUGGCGGAGGCCUGCGGCAGCAGCAACUUCACCCUCUUCUGCAUCGCCGCCGAUUUCUACCCGCCGGAGAUCGCCGUGUGGUGGCAGCGCGGCGGCGGUGGCGGCGGCGGGGGCCCGGCCGGCGAGGCCGCUCGAGGUGGCCCGGAGCGAGUGGGCCGGCGGCACCUCGUUCGGCUGCUUCGCCGCCCACAUCGCCGCCGCCGCGGUGGCCGGCCGGACCGUCGGCGCCGGCGCCGGUAA
This is a non-coding RNA of Rhea pennata, 2148 nucleotides long. The record is from the annotation of a RefSeq genome assembly. Lineage: Eukaryota; Metazoa; Chordata; Aves; Rheiformes; Rheidae.